UGGAUGAACAUUGUAUUACUGGCCAUGGAUGAACACAGUGGUACAGGCCGUGGAUGAACAGUGUUACAGGCAGUGGAUAAACAAGGUGUUUCAGGCCGUGGAUGAACACAGUGUUACAGGCAGUAGUUGAACACAUUGUUACAGGCCGUGGAUGAACACAGUGUUACAGGCAGUGGAUGAACACAGUGUUACAGGCAGUGGAUGAACACAGUGUUACGGGCAGUGGAUGACCACAAUGUUACGAGCAGUGGAUGAACACUGUAAAAGGCAUGGAUGAACACUGUAUUACUGGCCGUGGAUGAACACAGUGUUACAGGCAGUGGAUGAACACAGUGUUACAGGCAGUAGACGAACACAGUGUUACAGGCAGUAGAUGAACACGGUAUUACAGGCAUUGGAUGAAAACAGUGUUUCAGGCCGUGGAUGAACACAGUUUCACUGGCAGUGGAUGAACACAAUGUUACAGGCAGUGGAUGAACACUGUUAAAGGCUGUGGAUGAACACAGUAUAACAGGCAGUGGAUGAACACAGUGUUACAGGCCAUGGAUGAACACAGUGGUACAGGCCGUGGAUGAACAGUGUUACAGGCAGUGGAUGAACAAGGUGUUUCAGGCUGUGGAUGAACACGGUGUUACAGGCAGGAGAUGAACACAGUGUUACAGGCCGUGGAUGAACACAGUGUUACAGGCAGUGGAUGAACACAGUGUUUCAGGCAGUGGAUGAACACAGUGUUUCAGGCAGUGGAUUAACACAGUAUUACAGGCAGUGGAUGACCACAAUGUUACGGGCAGUGGAUGAACACAGUGUUUCAGGCAGUGGAUUAACACAGUAUUACAGGCAGUGGAUGACCACAAUGUUACGAGCAGUGGAUGAACACAGUGUUUCAG
This is a long non-coding RNA of Esox lucius (northern pike), 887 nucleotides long. Lineage: Eukaryota; Metazoa; Chordata; Actinopteri; Esociformes; Esocidae. The record is from Ensembl.